RNAcentral lists this ribosomal RNA (587 nucleotides) under uncultured bacterium. RNAcentral describes it as "bacterial SSU rRNA". It matches the Rfam family "Bacterial small subunit ribosomal RNA", at positions 338 to 917 of the family's 1533-position model. The record is from RNAcentral.
CCUACGGGAGGCAGCAGUGGGGAAUAUUGCACAAUGGGGGAAACCCUGAUGCAGCCAUGCCGCGUGUGUGAAGAAGGCCUUCGGGUUGUAAAGCACUUUCAGUUGUGAGGAAAAGUUAGUAGUUAAUACCUGCUAGCCGUGACGUUAACAACAGAAGAAGCACCGGCUAACUCCGUGCCAGCAGCCGCGGUAAUACGGAGGGUGUGAGCGUUAAUCGGAAUUACUGGGCGUAAAGCGCACGCAGGCGGUUUGUUAAGCUAGAUGUGAAAGCCCCGGGCUCAACCUGGGAUGGUCAUUUAGAACUGGCAGACUAGAGUCUUGGAGAGGGGAGUGGAAUUCCAGGUGUAGCGGUGAAAUGCGUAGAUAUCUGGAGGAACAUCAGUAGCGAAGGCGACUCCCUGGCCAAAGACUGACGCUCAUGUGCGAAAGUGUGGGUAGCGAACAGGAUUAGAUACCCUGGUAGUCCACACCGUAAACGCUGUCUACUAGCUGUGUGUGCCUUUAAGGCGUGCGUAGCGAAGCUAACGCGCUAAGUAGACCGCCUGGGGAGUACGGCCGCAAGGUUAAAACUCAAAUGAAUUGACGGA